GGGGCUGUAGCUCAGUGGCAGAGCACUUGCCUAGCAUGCAUGAGGCACUGGGUUCAAUCUUCAGCACCACA
RNAcentral lists this transfer RNA (71 nucleotides) under Marmota monax (woodchuck). RNAcentral describes it as "tRNA.Ala". It matches the Rfam family "tRNA". Rfam says of the family: Transfer RNA (tRNA) molecules are approximately 80 nucleotides in length. Their secondary structure includes four short double-helical elements and three loops (D, anti-codon, and T loops). Further hydrogen bonds mediate the characteristic L-shaped molecular structure. tRNAs have two regions of fundamental functional importance: the anti-codon, which is responsible for specific mRNA codon recognition, and the 3' end, to which the tRNAs corresponding amino acid is attached (by aminoacyl-tRNA synthetases). tRNAs cope with the degeneracy of the genetic code in two manners: having more than one tRNA (with a specific anti-codon) for a particular amino acid; and 'wobble' base-pairing, i.e. permitting non-standard base-pairing at the 3rd anti-codon position. Lineage: Eukaryota; Metazoa; Chordata; Mammalia; Rodentia; Sciuridae. The record is from RNAcentral.